UACGUAGGGGGCUAGCGUUGCUCGGAAUCACUGGGCGUAAAGGGUGCGUAGGCGGGUCUUUAAGUCAGGGGUGAAAUCCUGGAGCUCAACUCCAGAACUGCCAUUGAAACUGUUAGACUUGAGGAUGAGAGAGGUGAGUGGAAUUCCCAGUGUAGAGGUGAAAUUCGUAGAUAUCGGGAGGAACACCGGUGGCGAAGGCGGCGAUCUGGGUCGAUACUGACGCUGAGGUGCGAAAGCGUGGGGAGCAAACAGG
RNAcentral lists this ribosomal RNA (253 nucleotides) under uncultured bacterium. RNAcentral describes it as "partial 16S ribosomal RNA". It matches the Rfam family "Bacterial small subunit ribosomal RNA", at positions 524 to 776 of the family's 1533-position model. The record is from RNAcentral.